This 319-nucleotide ribosomal RNA is filed under the name uncultured bacterium. Its description in RNAcentral is "bacterial SSU rRNA". It matches the Rfam family "Bacterial small subunit ribosomal RNA", at positions 28 to 353 of the family's 1533-position model. The record is from RNAcentral.
GACGAACGCUGGCGGCGUGCUUAACACAUGCAAGUCGAGCGGUAAGGCUCCUUCGGGAGUACACGAGCGGCGAACGGGUGAGUAACACGUGAGCAAUCUGCCCAUCUCUUUGGAAUAAGCGUUGGAAACGACGUCUAAUGCCGAAUACGACCUCCUUCGCAUGAUCGGAGGUGGAAAGCUCCGGCGGAGAUGGAUGAGCUCGCGGCCUAUCAGCUAGCGGUGAGGUAACGGCCACCAAGGCGACGACGGGUAGCCGGCCUGAGAGGGUGACCGGCCACACUGGGACUGAGACACGGCCAGACUCCUACGGGAGGCAGCA